AUUGAACGCUGGCGGCAGGCCUAACACAUGCAAGUCGAACGGUAACAGGAAGCAGCUUGCUGCUUCGCUGACGAGUGGCGGACGGGUGAGUAAUGUCUGGGAAACUGCCUGAUGGAGGGGGAUAACUACUGGAAACGGUAGCUAAUACCGCAUAACGUCGCAAGACCAAAGAGGGGGACCUUCGGGCCCCUUGCCAUCGGAUGUGCCCAGAUGGGAUUAGCUAGUAGGUGGGGUAACGGCUCACCUAGGCGACGAUCCCUAGCUGGUCUGAGAGGAUGACCAGCCACACUGGAACUGAGACACGGGCCAGACUCCUACGGGAGGCAGCAGUGGGGAAUAUUGCACAAUGGGCGCAAGCCUGAUGCAGCCAUGCCGCGUGUAUGAAGAAGGCCUUCGGGUUGUAAAGCUCUUUCGGCAGGAACGAAACGGUGGCCCCUAAUACGGGUUGCUAAUGACGGUACCUGAAGAAGAAGCACCGGCUAACUACGUGCCAGCCGCCGCGGUAA
Molecule: ribosomal RNA, 506 nt
Filed under: uncultured bacterium
Lineage: Bacteria
Description: partial 16S ribosomal RNA
Rfam family: Bacterial small subunit ribosomal RNA
Source: RNAcentral